CUGGCGGCGUGCCUAAUACAUGCAAGUCGAACGGCUUUUCUAUGGAAGCUUGCUUCCACUGAGAAGAUAGUGGCGAACGGGUGAGUAACACGUGGGGUAACCUGCCCAUAAGAGGGGGGAUAACAUCCGGAAACGGGUGCUAAUACCGCAUAGUUUUCUUGGUCGCAUGAUCGGGAAAGGAAAGACGGCCUUUGUGCUGUCGCUUAUGGAUGGACCCGCGGCGUAUUAGUUAGUUGGUGAGGUAACGGCUCACCAAGACGAUGAUACGUAGCCGACCUGAGAGGGUGAUCGGCCACAUUGGGACUGAGACACGGCCCAAACUCCUACGGGAGGCAGCAGUAGGGAAUCUUCCGCAAUGGACGAAAGUCUGACGGAGCAACGCCGCGUGAGUGAAGAAAAGGUUUUCGGAUCGUAAAACUCUGUUGUCAGAGAAGAACAAGUUGGAGAGUAACUGCUCCAGCCUUGACGGUAUCUGACCAGAAAGCCACGGCUAACUACGUGCCAGCAGCGGC
This 512-nucleotide ribosomal RNA is filed under the name uncultured bacterium. Its description in RNAcentral is "bacterial SSU rRNA". It matches the Rfam family "Bacterial small subunit ribosomal RNA", at positions 36 to 518 of the family's 1533-position model. The record is from RNAcentral.